GGGGGUGUUCUGGCUUCGACGGGGGUAGUGCGAUUGCCUGGUGCAUGCCGAGGGGGCAGCUUUCCUCGUUAAUCCAGCAGCAAACUUAUAGUUGCCAACGACGACAACUACGCUCUCGCCGCUUAAGGCGUAAGCCCCGAACCGACUUGUGCUCGUGCUCGUCGGUGUAGGGUCACUAUCACGAGAUCGUCAAUGGCUGUCGCCUCUCAGCCUACGACUAGAUCUAACAGGCUGGUUUGUCGGCGCGCUUAGCACGCCGUGCUGUCGGCAAACGAGAUCCAACGGUGAGCUAAGCAUGUAGAUCCGGGGAUUAAACGCCUUCGGACGCGGGUUCGACUCCCGCCACCUCCACCA
Molecule: non-coding RNA, 354 nt
Organism: Luteibacter sp.
Lineage: Bacteria; Pseudomonadati; Pseudomonadota; Gammaproteobacteria; Lysobacterales; Rhodanobacteraceae
Rfam family: transfer-messenger RNA
About the family: Bacterial tmRNA, also known as 10Sa RNA or SsrA, is named for its dual tRNA and mRNA-like properties.
Source: Rfam